ACUCCUACGGGAGGCAGCAGUGGGGAAUAUUGCACAAUGGGCGCAAGCCUGAUGCAGCCAUGCCGCGUGUAUGAAGAAGGCCUUCGGGUUGUAAAGUACUUUCAGCAGUGAGGAAGGCGGAGUCGUUAAUAGCGGCCUCGUUUGACGUUAGCUGCAGAAGAAGCACCGGCUAACUCCGUGCCAGCAGCCGCGGUAAUACGGAGGGUGCGAGCGUUAAUCGGAAUUACUGGGCGUAAAGCGCAUGCAGGUGGUUUGUUAAGUCAGAUGUGAAAGCCCGGGGCUCAACCUCGGAAUUGCAUUUGAAACUGGCAGACUAGAGUACUGUAGAGGGGGGUAGAAUUUCAGGUGUAGCGGUGAAAUGCGUAGAGAUCUGAAGGAAUACCGGUGGCGAAGGCGGCCCCCUGGACAGAUACUGACACUCAGAUGCGAAAGCGUGGAAGCAAACAGGAUUAGAUACCCUGGUAGGAUAGCG
This 472-nucleotide ribosomal RNA is filed under the name uncultured bacterium. Its description in RNAcentral is "bacterial SSU rRNA". It matches the Rfam family "Bacterial small subunit ribosomal RNA", at positions 335 to 799 of the family's 1533-position model. The record is from RNAcentral.